Molecule: long non-coding RNA, 570 nt
Filed under: Gallus gallus (chicken)
Lineage: Eukaryota; Metazoa; Chordata; Aves; Galliformes; Phasianidae
Description: long non-coding RNA NONGGAT004964
Source: RNAcentral
CAAAAACCUCAUCCCAAUACUGUGAUGGCUUGGAAACAGCUCCUGUCGUUGUGCCAGAUGUUUCACAGAACACACGUGCAAGAAGGGCUUUCCUUCCGCAUCCAGCAGAACAGCUAAGUUAAUCAAAUCCUUGUUGUAAUGGAUCCCACGUAAGGAAUAGCUAUUAUGAAGUACAUCAGGGUCAGCCUGAAACUGAAGAUGGUUUUCUGUGAACUGCAGACCUCCAAAACUAAGCACCAUGCCUUGCAUAAGCCCGUGGACUCCGGCUGCCACAAGAGCCUUACACCCCCGUUUCUGGAGGGUCAGCUUCCAAAGGUCUGAGAGCUGCAAGAUCUGGGGCACGCUGGUCAGCUUUGCUGGCCACAGGUUCUCUGCAUGCAUGGUCGCGUGGCCACUGAAGCAAUGGUCAGCAUAGUUCAAGCUGGCUUCCAUUUUUUCUCUGUCCUCACCGCUAAUGAGUGGAUCUAGCAGAGGAGCUGGCAUGCUUGAAAGCAUAUAGUAGAGGGUCAUGUUAACAGUCUCACUGGAUGGUGUAUGUGAAUCUGUGAUCUUCCUCAUUUCAAUCCCUGC